Molecule: ribosomal RNA, 404 nt
Filed under: uncultured bacterium
Lineage: Bacteria
Description: bacterial SSU rRNA
Rfam family: Bacterial small subunit ribosomal RNA
Source: RNAcentral
AUCCCUUGACAUCCUGCGAACUUUCUAGCGAUAGAUUGGUGCCUUCGGGAACGCAGUGACAGGUGCUGCAUGGCUGUCGUCAGCUCGUGUCGUGAGAUGUUGGGUUAAGUCCCGCAACGAGCGCAACCCUUAUCAUUAGUUGCUAACAUUUAGUUGAGAACUCUAAUGAGACUGCCGGUGAUAAACCGGAGGAAGGCGGGGACGACGUCAAGUCAUCAUGGCCCUUAUGGGAUGGGCUACACACGUGCUACAAUGGGGGGUACAGAGUGUUGCGAUACCGCGAGGUGGAGCAAAUCUAUAAACCUAAUCUCAGUUCGGAUAGCAGUCUGCAACUCGACUGCUUGAAGCUGGAAUCACUAGUAAUCGUAAAUCAGCUAUGUUACGGUGAAUACGUUCCCGGGUCU